This 243-nucleotide ribosomal RNA is filed under the name uncultured Actinomycetales bacterium. Its description in RNAcentral is "partial 16S ribosomal RNA". It matches the Rfam family "Bacterial small subunit ribosomal RNA", at positions 88 to 334 of the family's 1533-position model. The record is from RNAcentral. Lineage: Bacteria; Bacillati; Actinomycetota; Actinomycetes; Actinomycetales.
UACUCGAGUGGCGAACGGGUGAGUAACACGUGGGUGAUCUGCCCUGCACUUCGGGAUAAGCCUGGGAAACUGGGUCUAAUACCGGAUAGGAGCCAUUUUUAGUGUGAUGGUUGGAAAGUUUUUUCGGUGUAGGAUGAGCUCGCGGCCUAUCAGCUUGUUGGUGGGGUAAUGGCCUACCACGGCGGCGACGGGUAGCCGGCCUGAGAGGGUGGACGGCCACAUUGGGACUGAGAUACGGCCCAG